RNAcentral lists this small nucleolar RNA (74 nucleotides) under Myotis lucifugus (little brown bat). RNAcentral describes it as "Small nucleolar RNA SNORD112 (ENSMLUG00000022049.1)". Lineage: Eukaryota; Metazoa; Chordata; Mammalia; Chiroptera; Vespertilionidae. The record is from RNAcentral.
UGGACCAAAGAGGACAAUGUAUCAUGAACCAAGGAUUAUGAUUAAUCCAACUCUGAACAAUUAGAAUGUUUAAC